This is a long non-coding RNA of Hibiscus syriacus, 281 nucleotides long. RefSeq lists it as uncharacterized. The transcript has 2 exons. The record is from RefSeq and is a predicted model, not a curated record. Lineage: Eukaryota; Viridiplantae; Streptophyta; Magnoliopsida; Malvales; Malvaceae.
ACUACCCGGAAGAAAAUGCAAAACUACGACAAGAGCAUGGGAUGAAACCAUUAGAAUCGUCGACAAGCAUGGAGGAGGAGGAGGAGACAACGGAAGUGGUGACGGAAUUGUUUAUCGGACCACCGAGAGAAGAGGUAUAAAAAAAACCCUAGUUUGUUAAAUAGUUGUUCAUUAUCUUAAUACAUUAUGAACGAAGCUUCAAAACAUUCAAAACAAAUUGAGAAUAUGAUUUAUAUAUUGGAGCUAUAGCUAAAUAAGGAUAGAAUUGUAAUAAAAAUUGU